RNAcentral lists this non-coding RNA (27 nucleotides) under Bombyx mori (domestic silkworm). The record is from RNAcentral. Lineage: Eukaryota; Metazoa; Arthropoda; Insecta; Lepidoptera; Bombycidae.
CCGCUAGUCAACGCGAUCGUGGCCACU